AGAGUUUGAUCAUGGCUCAGAUUGAACGCUGGCGGCAGGCCUAACACAUGCAAGUCGAGCGGUAGAGAGAAGCUUGCUUCUCUUGAGAGCGGCGGACGGGUGAGUAAUGCCUAGGAAUCUGCCUGGUAGUGGGGGAUAACGUCCGGAAACGGACGCUAAUACCGCAUACGUCCUACGGGAGAAAGCAGGGGACCUUCGGGCCUUGCGCUAUCAGAUGAGCCUAGGUCGGAUUAGCUAGUUGGUGGGGUAAUGGCUCACCAAGGCGACGAUCCGUAACUGGUCUGAGAGGAUGAUCAGUCACACUGGAACUGAGACACGGUCCAGACUCCUACGGGAGGCAGCAGUGGGGAAUAUUGGACAAUGGGCGAAAGCCUGAUCCAGCCAUGCCGCGUGUGUGAAGAAGGUCUUCGGAUUGUAAAGCACUUUAAGUUGGGAGGAAGGGCAGUAAAUUAAUACUUUGCUGUUUUGACGUUACCGACAGAAUAAGCACCGGCUAACUCUGUGCCAGCAGCCGCGGUAAUACAGAGGGUGCAAGCGUUAAUCGGAAUUACUGGGCGUAAAGCGUGCGUAGGCGGUUCGUUAAGUCAGAUGUGAAAGCCCUGGGCUCAACCUGGGAACUGCAUUUGAAACUGGCGAACUAGAGUUGAGUAGAGGGGAGUGGAAUUUCAGGUGUAGCGGUGAAAUGCGUAGAUAUCUGAAGGAACACCAGUGGCGAAGGCGACUCCCUGGACUCAAACUGACGCUGAGGUACGAAAGCGUGGGUAGCAAACAGGAUUAGAUACCCUGGUAGUCC
RNAcentral lists this ribosomal RNA (793 nucleotides) under uncultured bacterium. RNAcentral describes it as "bacterial SSU rRNA". It matches the Rfam family "Bacterial small subunit ribosomal RNA", at positions 8 to 796 of the family's 1533-position model. The record is from RNAcentral.